RNAcentral lists this ribosomal RNA (2855 nucleotides) under Paenibacillus phocaeensis. RNAcentral describes it as "bacterial LSU rRNA". The stretch from base 484 to 2855 matches the Rfam family "Bacterial large subunit ribosomal RNA". The record is from RNAcentral. Lineage: Bacteria; Bacillati; Bacillota; Bacilli; Caryophanales; Paenibacillaceae.
GUUUAAAUGAGCAAGUCAAACACCUUGGAUGGAAGACCUCGGCGCCUUUGGGUUCGAGAUUCCUUCCAUCCUUUAUUGGAGAGUUUGAUCCUGGCUCAGGACGAACGCUGGCGGCGUGCCUAAUACAUGCAAGUCGAGCGGAGUUAAUUAGGAGCUUGCUCUUGAUUAACUUAGCGGCGGACGGGUGAGUAACACGUAGGCAACCUGCCCGUAAGACUGGGAUAACUACCGGAAACGGUAGCUAAUACCGGAUACGCAAGUUUCUCGCAUGGGAGACUUGGGAAAGGCGGAGCAAUCUGUCACUUACGGAUGGGCCUGCGGCGCAUUAGCUAGUUGGUGGGGUAACGGCUCACCAAGGCGACGAUGCGUAGCCGACCUGAGAGGGUGAACGGCCACACUGGGACUGAGACACGGCCCAGACUCCUACGGGAGGCAGCAGUAGGGAAUCUUCCGCAAUGGACGAAAGUCUGACGGAGCAACGCCGCGUGAGUGAAGAAGGUUUUCGGAUCGUAAAGCUCUGUUGCCAGGGAAGAACGUCCUCUAGAGUAACUGCUAGGGGAGUGACGGUACCUGAGAAGAAAGCCCCGGCUAACUACGUGCCAGCAGCCGCGGUAAUACGUAGGGGGCAAGCGUUGUCCGGAAUUAUUGGGCGUAAAGCGCGCGCAGGCGGCUGUUUAAGUCUGGUGUAUAAUCCUGGGGCUCAACCCCGGGUCGCACUGGAAACUGGGCAGCUUGAGUGCAGAAGAGGAGAGUGGAAUUCCACGUGUAGCGGUGAAAUGCGUAGAGAUGUGGAGGAACNUAGGGCUAGCCUCGGUGGGAUAGUCGUGGAGGUAGAGCACUGAUUGGGUGCGGGGCCCGCCAAGGGUUACCAAGCUCAGUCAAACUCCGAAUGCCAUAGACUGAAUAACCGGGAGUCAGACAGUGAGUGCUAAGAUCCAUUGUCAAAAGGGAAACAGCCCAGACCAUCAGCUAAGGUCCCCAAGUGUGUGUUAAGUGGGAAAGGAUGUGGAGUUGCACAGACAACCAGGAUGUUGGCUUAGAAGCAGCCACCAUUUAAAGAGUGCGUAAUAGCUCACUGGUCGAGUGACUCUGCGCCGAAAAUGUAACGGGGCUAAACACACCACCGAAGCUAUGGCUUGAUGCAUUGCAUCAGGGGUAGGGGAGCGUUGAAUACGGGUUGAAGCUAGACCGGAAGGACUGGUGGACUGUAUUCAAGUGAGAAUGCCGGUAUGAGUAACGAAAAGAUCAGUGAGAAUCUGAUCCGCCGAAAGCCUAAGGGUUCCUGAGGAAGGUUCGUCCGCUCAGGGUAAGUCGGGACCUAAGGCGAGGCCGAAAGGCGUAGUCGAAGGACAACAGGUUUAAAUUCCUGUACCACCGUAAUCCGUUAUGAGCGAUGGGGUGACGCAGUAGGGUAGUGACGCGGGGCGAUGGAAUGCCCCGUCCAAGCAGUGAGGCUGGUGUGUAGGCAAAUCCGCACAUCGUAAGGCUGGGCUGUGAUGGGGAGGGAAAAUUUACAGUACCGAAGGUCAUGAUCUCACACUGCCAAGAAAAGCCUCUAGUCAGGAGAAGGUGCCCGUACCGCAAACCGACACAGGUAGGCGAGAAGAGAAUUCUAAGGCGCGCGGAAGAACUCUCGUUAAGGAACUCGGCAAAAUGACCCCGUAACUUCGGGAGAAGGGGUGCCCCGGUAGAGUGAAUAGCUCGAGGGGGCCGCAGUGAAAAGGCCCAAGCGACUGUUUAGCAAAAACACAGGUCUGUGCGAAGCCGCAAGGCGAAGUAUACGGGCUGACGCCUGCCCGGUGCUGGAAGGUUAAGGGGAGUGGUUAGGGGUUUAACCCGAAGCUAUGAACCGAAGCCCCAGUAAACGGCGGCCGUAACUAUAACGGUCCUAAGGUAGCGAAAUUCCUUGUCAGGUAAAUUCUGACCCGCACGAAUGGCGUAACGACUUGGGCGCUGUCUCAACGAGAGAUCCGGUGAAAUUUUAAUACCUGUGAAGAUGCAGGUUACCCGCGACAAGACGGAAAGACCCCAUGGAGCUUUACUGCAGCUUGAUAUUGGACUUUGAUACGAUUUGUACAGGAUAGGUGGGAGCCUAGGAAGCCGGAGCGCCAGCUUCGGUGGAGGCGCCGUUGGGAUACCACCCUGAUCGUAUCGGAGUUCUAACCUGGUACCGUGAUCCGGUAUGGGGACAGUGUCAGGUGGGCAGUUUGACUGGGGCGGUCGCCUCCUAAAGAGUAACGGAGGCGCCCCAAGGUUCCCUCAGAAUGGUUGGAAAUCAUUCGAAGAGUGCAAAGGCAAAAGGGAGCUUGACUGCGAGACUGACAAGUCGAGCAGGGACGAAAGUCGGGCUUAGUGAUCCGGUGGUACCGCAUGGAAGGGCCAUCGCUCAACGGAUAAAAGCUACCCUGGGGAUAACAGGCUUAUCUCCCCCAAGAGUCCACAUCGACGGGGAGGUUUGGCACCUCGAUGUCGGCUCAUCGCAUCCUGGGGCUGAAGUAGGUCCCAAGGGUUGGGCUGUUCGCCCAUUAAAGCGGUACGCGAGCUGGGUUCAGAACGUCGUGAGACAGUUCGGUCCCUAUCUGUCGUGGGCGUAGGAAAUUUGAGAGGAGCUGUCCUUAGUACGAGAGGACCGGGAUGGACGCACCGCUGGUGCACCAGUUGUUCCGCCAGGAGCACAGCUGGGUAGCUAAGUGCGGACGGGAUAAGCGCUGAAAGCAUCUAAGCGUGAAGCCCCCCUCAAGAUGAGAUUUCCCAAUUAGUAAGACCCCUUGAAGACGACGAGGUUGAUAGGCCUGAGGUGGAAGUGCAGCAAUGUAUGGAGCUGACAGGUACUAAUCGGUCGAGGGCUUAUCCAA